This 566-nucleotide small RNA is filed under the name bovine gut metagenome. The record is from RNAcentral.
AAAUUAAAAUGGUGGUGCAGUAUCCUAGUCGGUGAUGGUAUUUCUGAAAGCGGGCCUAAAAAUCCGUUAAGGGCACAUCGAUGAAGUUUCUGGUGUUGGCUUCUGACGCCCAGUCAGGGGUUGAUGCUGGGAGUUAAGAAUUUCGGGCAACCCGCAAUGGCAUGCGGAUCCUGACCCGACUUUCGUGGAGACCUACUGUGGUGGUUGUUAAAAAUCAAUUACUCUUUAGGAUUAAACCUGUAUUGCGGUUAAUGCUGUGUACAGUGUAGCCUGCCUUGAGUGGUAUCGGUGGAUAAACGGAACACGCUUCGCUGUGUUUGGCCGAAUGCGGCGUUGGGCGAUUGCCUUUUGAAACCCGUACUGCAAAAGAGGCUAGGAAAUAUUGGAGCUGUGGAGGAAAGCUCCUAGGCUGUGACCUUGUUUAUAGUGAGGCAUAUUGGGGAUUACGGUGUGCUCUAAGUGGCAAUCCGGUUCCGUGGAUGGUAACAAGCGGCUGAUUCUUUAAAGGGAAACCGCCUCUUCCGGCGACGGGGGGCAGUAUCGGGGGAAAUCCCGCCGGACCUAUG